GCGGGCGGCGGGCGGCGGACGGAAGGCAUCACUUUGUCCGGACUCUAAUUCAAAUUGUAUUCAUCCGAUCUUCACCAAACUUGGUCAGCAGUUGCAUCUAGUUGAUAUCUAGGCCAAGUUCGAAUAUGGGUCAUGCCAGGUCAAAAACUAGGUCAUAGGGUCAAUAAGUGCAUUUUCAAAGGGGCCACUUUGUCCGGACUCUAUUUCAAAUUGUAUUCAUCCGAUCUUCACCAAACUUGGUCAGCAGUUGCAUCUAGUUGAUAUAUAGGCCAAGUUCGAAUAUGGGUCAUGCCGGGUCAAAAACUAGGUCAUAGGGUCAAUUAGUGCAUUUUCAACGGCGCCACUUUGUCCGGACUCUAAUUCAAAUUGUAUUCAUCCGAUCUUCACCAAAUUUGGUCAGAAGUUGUGUCUAGAUGAUAUGUAGGUCAAGUUCAAAUAUGGGUCAUGCCGGGUCAAAAACUAGGUCACGAGGUUACUUAGUGCAUUUCAAGCAUUUAGCAUGGUGUCCGCUCUCUAAUUGAAGUAGUUUUCAUCUGAUCUUCACCUAAUUUGGUCAGAAGUUGUGUCUAGAUGAUAUGUAGGUCAAGUUCGAACAUGGGUCAUGCCGGGUCAAAAACGAGGUCACAUAGUGCAUUUCAAGCAUUAAGCAUGUUGUCCGCUCUUUAAUUGAAGUAGUUUUCAUCUGAUCUUCACCAAAUUUAGUCAGAUGUUACAUCUAAGUGAUAUCUAGGUCAAGUUCAAAUAUGGGUCAUGCCGGGUCAAUAACUAGGUCUUGAGGACACUUUCAAGCAUUGAGCAUGGUGUCCAAAACCUUCGAACGGGCGUACCUUGUGACAGUUUGGCACUCUUGUUACUGUUUCUUCUUAUUUGCAAUAACUACUUGUGGACUAGUCAUUUAAAUUAGUUUAGUUAUAUAUUUUGAAAUGUCAUUGUCAUUAUUGGAAGUUAUAACUUAUUAAAAUGUUAAAACUU
This is a long non-coding RNA of Dreissena polymorpha, 972 nucleotides long. RefSeq lists it as uncharacterized. The record is from RefSeq and is a predicted model, not a curated record. Lineage: Eukaryota; Metazoa; Mollusca; Bivalvia; Myida; Dreissenidae. The transcript has 2 exons.